GUGGGGAAUCUUAGACAAUGGGCGCAAGCCUGAUCUAGCCAUGCCGCGUGAGCGAUGAAGGCCUUAGGGUUGUAAAGCUCUUUCGCUGGGGAAGAUAAUGACUGUACCCAGUAAAGAAGCCCCGGCUAACUCCGUGCCAGCAGCCGCGGUAAUACGGAGGGGGCUAGCGUUGUUCGGAAUUACUGGGCGUAAAGCGCGCGUAGGCGGAUUGGAAAGUUGGGGGUGAAAUCCCGGGGCUCAACCUCGGAACUGCCUUCAAAACUCCCAGUCUUGAGUUCGAGAGAGGUGAGUGGAAUUCCGAGUGUAGAGGUGAAAUUCGUAGAUAUUCGGAGGAACACCAGUGGCGAAGGCGGCUCACUGGCUCGAUACUAACGCUGAGGUGCGAAAGCGUGGGGAGCAAACAGGAUUAGAAACCCGUGUAGUCC
This 425-nucleotide ribosomal RNA is filed under the name uncultured bacterium. RNAcentral describes it as "partial 16S ribosomal RNA". It matches the Rfam family "Bacterial small subunit ribosomal RNA", at positions 354 to 796 of the family's 1533-position model. The record is from RNAcentral.